Long non-coding RNA from Colossoma macropomum (tambaqui), 1370 nucleotides. RefSeq lists it as uncharacterized. NCBI's taxonomy places the organism in Eukaryota, Metazoa, Chordata, Actinopteri, Characiformes, Serrasalmidae. The transcript is spliced from 6 exons. The record is from RefSeq and is a predicted model, not a curated record.
ACAUUUUCACAAAGACCAUUUACGCCUUCCUGGUAAAACAAGCACUAUAACUACCAAAUUUGCAGAAAACUGAUGACAAAAACGUUUAUAAAAUUAUUAUAAUAUGUUUUUGGCUUUGGAUGGGUAGAAAAUAAUGUACUCUAUGCAAUGGAAUCUGACUUAUAAAAACCCCUGUCGUGGACAGAAAUACUUAGUAUAUUACAUCCCACCAUUGGUUUAUUCAUAUUUUCAAGCAACUUGGAACCAAUCAGAAUAGUUUAAGCUAUAAUAAAAUUACAGUUUGGUGAAUAUAAAGUUUUGCCUUUCUACAAAGUGCCUGUGUAAGCAGGAUCCAGGCCUGUACGAACACAUUCAAAUUAGAAUUCAGAGGUGUAACAGCCCCAGCUCUGAUUCCUCUCUGCUUGUAGAUGUGCUUUAAAGACAGAUUAGCCACUGUCUGUUCAUGUAAAUUAAAACUAAGCAGUUAGCACUCUCUCUGUGCGUUGAGCAGCACUGUGAUAUGUGUAUACUAAAGAACAACAUUAACAAGUCAAUGUAACAUUGCCAUUUCCUCCACUGCAUUCCACAGUGUUAUUUCCAGAGUGUUUGUUUUUUACUGGGAGAGUUUUUUUGAAUGCUACAGAUACUCCCGAAUUGCAGGAAAAGUAUAAAGACAUUGAGAGAAAAAUGAACGAUGUUGAGGAAGAACUAAAAGAAGCACUAAAAUCUAUAAUGGAAUGGGAAAAACUAGAUAAUUUUAUCAGGUGUGCUGUUGUUCAUUCGUACACCAUUUAUGAACAGCUGUGUGAAAGGGGGGUGUUUUCUGAGACGAAAAGACUGUAUUUCAGAGCUGUGGACAUAGGAACUGCCCUGGCAGGCAAUGAAGAAGUUCAGUAUUUUAGAGAGAUGUAUUUUGAGAGAUGGAAGUCAUUUAUAGAAGAACUCAACACAUUGGUAGAAGAAGAGAUAUACAAAACUCAUUUCCUACUUCGACAAGUGUGGGCUGUUGCAUGAAUGUUAAAUGCCAAAUUUGAGCCGUUCAUCGACAAAGUCAAUGCGGAUAUUGAUGAUGAUACAGUACAACAGAUGUCAACGAAGUGGAGUAAUAUAAAAGAGAAAUGCGUUAAAAAGUACUGACCGGUGGAGCACUUACUCGGGAUCAACUGGAUGAAGCUCAGAGGUCAGUGAUAUGUAGUGCUGCACUCUUCAAUUUGAUGAAAUAACCUGUUCUGUAAUAAAUUUGCCACUAAAUCUUUUGUGUAUUUAAAAAUAAAAUGUGCUAAUAGAGUAUGAUUUAUUUGUUAGGUUUAAUUCUACACAUUCAAUAUAAAAACAUAUUUAAGCUGCAUCUUAAUGUGUCUGUUUUUAAUUUGUUAUUAUAAACUGCAACU